Molecule: non-coding RNA, 1800 nt
Organism: Hydra vulgaris (swiftwater hydra)
Lineage: Eukaryota; Metazoa; Cnidaria; Hydrozoa; Anthoathecata; Hydridae
Source: RefSeq, a predicted model, not a curated record
AUGAAAUAGCAAUGCGUAGUGUAGAAGAUCACAUGACAACCAUAAUAAGUGAAUCAGUGCUUGCUUUAUCAAAAAGCAAUCAAAGCAUGACUAUCAUAAAUUUUGUUGAACUUUGUACUUUUUACUUUUGGAAAGCUACACGGUGUGGGUUUUGAAAAUAAACUCAGUUAAUGUCCAAUGUUACAAUAGUAUCUGAUCUUCAUAUUAAGAUUUUCUAAAUGGAUUUAAGUGCGAAAGAAAAUGAGAAAUGGUCAAAAAAAAGAAAACACACUUUUAUUGUAUUUUCAAUCCAAAUGGUUAUUAUUGGUAUUGAGUAUACACUUACUCUUUUAACGUUAUGGUUGUACAUUAAAGAAAUGAUACACACAAAAUCGCCGAAGUUGCUGUAUAGUAUUGCUUCUGUUUCAUUUAUGUUAGCAUCAACUAUUGCGAUGCCAUUCAUAGGAAGAAUAGUCGACGAGUAUCGAAAUGUAAAAAGUUGCUUUUUAUUAUGCAACUUUCUGAUGCUUACGGGAAAUGUACUUUACAGUGUUCCUUUAUCUCCAUUCUUAUUAAUUGGAGGAAGAAUUAUAGCUGGCUUUGGCGGUUCGUUGAAAUCUGUAAUAUUUAGCGAAACAAUAAGGUGUUACCCUCCAUCUGAAACAUCUUCAAAACUAUCAAUUUUGUCAGUAAUGCAAAAUUUGGGAUUCAUGCUAGGUCCAGGAAUAAAUUUUUUUUUUUAAAAAAUGUAAAUUUUUUUAUAGGAAAUUGGCAUUUAAGGGAUUUUAAUUUUCCUGGCCUUUUUAUGGGAAUUGCAUGUUUUGCUAUGGAGAUUUUAACAUUAACAAUGGUACACAACGUAUCAAAAGAGUUUGAUUACAAAGCUUUAUUAGAAAAUUAUGACAUAGCUAUGGAAAAUGCUACUAUUAAUACGAACAUUGAAAGCGUUGAAAACAUACCGUUAAUGCAGCAUAACACUGAUAGCAACAACACAAGCCAAAGCAAUAAACAUGUACCAUUGACCUCAAAGAAACACACAAUAAUAGAAAUUUUAAAAGUGUUAUUUUUUCAUUUCGAUUCUGCGCUUAUUUUAUUCGCAAACUUUUUCGUAGCUUUUUAUCUUACUACAGCAGACAUAUGGAUGCCGUUAUUAGUUAUUGAAAAAAUGCAUCUGUCAAUGCUAGAAAUGAACAUUAGUUUUUUUGGAGCCUGCGGAAUAUGCGCUCUUCUGUUGUUUUUGUUUAUUUGGAAACCUGUGUCUGACAAAAACAUGUUUUUUUUAUUGUUUCUCAGUUUAACUGGUUUCUGUAUCAUAAGCGCAGGAUUUAUGAUUCUUUCAUAUUUUCCGUUCAACAAAGCGUUAAACCUCGACUUAUGCAUCGUUUACAUGAUAUGCUUUGGAGGUGCUCCAAUAAUUAACGAUGUUUUUUUUUGUCAAAGCGUUAUCCAAAUUGGUAAAGUCGCACGUUUUAACUUUUGUUGAUAGUAUUCGAUACUCUAUGUUUUCAGCAGGGGCCUUUCUAGGCUUUAUUUUUGCUCCAUUCAUGUUUGACUACGUCACAACAUUUGGAACACUUUUUAUAUUUGUUAUGAUUAUAUUUGGGAUCACGUUUUUUGUCAGAAAAGAAAGUUUAAAUAAUCCAAAGGUUCUGUUGUAAAUCCUUAUUUAAAACACUUAAAGCAUGAGCAACAUUUGCUAUUCACAAAUCGCAACGAAUAUACUUAAAAGAAUAUUGUAUUCAAAACUCUAAGUUUUUACAAACCAGUAAUUUUAAAAAAUUUUCAAAGUUGUGCAAGUAAAUAAAUAUUGUUAUUGCUUAA